GCCGGUCGUCAGUCAGUCAGAGAGUCGAUUGUUUGGUUUCCCAACAAAUGGCGAACAGUGAGCCCUAUCACCGGCAACCCACACUGCAACUGACAUUGGAAUUCGCAGUUGAACAAUGCGGUUCGGCUCAACGGACAGAGAUUUGGGAUUUUCCGGCAAUGACGACUGGUUUUGUUUCGCUUGGACGGCUCUUCAGAGCAGAACAGAGAAGCAUACGGAUAUUUUUCGAACAUGGUUUUUCGUGCUGGAGGUGGUGGCGCAGUAUUAGACCAGGUUACCAACGACGCAGUUGUGUAUCGGUCCGAUCGAAUGAGCUGCAUAUUGCGCUGCAGUGGAAAUUCCAUCUCCCUAUAGGUCGAAACACGUCGGAGGAAAAUGUUCACUGGAAACAGUAGUAAGUCUUUUUAACUGCUGAAAAACAUGUAAGAAUUAUUCUUGACGUUUCGUACGGUAAAUGCUGAAUUCAACUACAACUAUGAUCAUUUGGAUGACGAUGGAACACGAACAAUGUAAUUUGUCACUUGUGGCUCAAGAAAACUUCAAUUUUCUCAUAUUUUCCUUUAAGAAGGUUUUCGUCGUUACUCAACCUCCCGAGAUAUAAUUUAAAAAAAAAACGAAGAGGCAAAAGGACCACCCAAACAACGCCGCACAAUUCAUACAAAUUUGAGAAAUGAAAAAGCUCUUCAGCCGGCCUUUCGCUUACCAUUGAGAGUUUGUUCAUAACGUUCGCUGGUCAGACCAUCACCGUCGGGCAGUAGCGGUGACGAAAGUUUGACCGGUAGUGGUGUUAAUCUGGCUGACCAACAAUAGGCGAUGGCCAUGGCGGUGUUGACGAUGAGAAACAUUGAUGAACGGACACCCUACAAUGGCCGAGGCUUUCCUUAUUAAUAGAUGGCAUCAUCAAUCAAGCUGUUUGGAAAACUCGGACAACCAUUUCACCCAGCUGGACCAAGGACUCGCACUGUCAAUUCAAUUUUGGCGUACCUAUCGAGCGUUCUACAUGUCGCGAGUAUUUGGUGUGCCUUAUCUCAGUCGUAAUAAA
Molecule: long non-coding RNA, 1042 nt
Organism: Armigeres subalbatus
Lineage: Eukaryota; Metazoa; Arthropoda; Insecta; Diptera; Culicidae
Exons: 3
Source: RefSeq, a predicted model, not a curated record